This 468-nucleotide ribosomal RNA is filed under the name uncultured bacterium. RNAcentral's name for it is "partial 16S ribosomal RNA". It matches the Rfam family "Bacterial small subunit ribosomal RNA", at positions 28 to 507 of the family's 1533-position model. The record is from RNAcentral.
GACGAACGCUGGCGGCGUGCUUAACACAUGCAAGUCGAACGGAAAGGCCCUGCUUUUGUGGGUUGCUCGAGUGGCGAACGGGUGAGUAACACGUGAGUAACCUGCCCUUGACUUUGGGAUAACUUCAGGAAACUGUGGCUAAUACCGGAUAGGAGCUCCUGCUGCAUGGUGGGGGUUGGAAAGUUUCGGCGGUUGGGGAUGGACUCGCGGCUUAUCAGCUUGUUGGUGGGGUAGUGGCUUACCAAGGCUUUGACGGGUAGCCGGCCUGAGAGGGUGACCGGCCACAUUGGGACUGAGAUACGGCCCAGACUCCUACGGGAGGCAGCAGUGGGGAAUAUUGCACAAUGGGCGGAAGCCUGAUGCAGCAACGCCGCGUGCGGGAUGACGGCCUUCGGGUUGUAAACCGCUUUCGCCUGUGACGAAGCGUGAGUGACGGUAAUGGGUAAAGAAGCACCGGCUAACUACGUG